AUACGUAGGGGGCGAGCGUUGUCCGGAAUGAUUGGGCGUAAAGGGCGCGUAGGCGGCUUUGCAAGUCAGUAGUGGAAGUCCAUUUUUCAAGGAUGGAAGUGCUACAGAAACUGCGGAGCUUGAGUGCAGGAGAGGUUAUCGGAAUUCCCGGUGUAGCGGUGAAAUGCGUAGAGAUCGGGAGGAACACCAGUGGCGAAGGCGGGUAACUGGACUGCAACUGACGCUGAGGCGCGAAAGUGUGGGGAGCAAACAGGAUUAGAUACCCUGGUAGUCCACACUGUAAACGAUGAAUGCUAGGUGUAGGAGGUAUCGACCCCUCCUGUGCCGGAGUAAACACAAUAAGCAUUCCGCCUGGGGAGUACGGCCGCAAGGUUGAAACUCAAAUGAAUUGACGGGG
This 397-nucleotide ribosomal RNA is filed under the name uncultured bacterium. RNAcentral describes it as "partial 16S ribosomal RNA". It matches the Rfam family "Bacterial small subunit ribosomal RNA", at positions 523 to 918 of the family's 1533-position model. The record is from RNAcentral.